RNAcentral lists this non-coding RNA (79 nucleotides) under marine eukaryotic metagenome. RNAcentral's name for it is "Glycine riboswitch". The stretch from base 4 to 73 matches the Rfam family "Glycine riboswitch aptamer", at positions 10 to 85 of the family's 94-position model. Rfam says of the family: This family represents the bacterial glycine riboswitch. Glycine riboswitches usually consist of two metabolite-binding aptamers domains with similar structures in tandem. The record is from RNAcentral.
AAAGCGGGAGAUACUGUUUAUUACAGAGCCGAAGGAGCAACAUACCCGGAAACUCUCAGGCAAAAAGGACCGCGGAAAA